Molecule: long non-coding RNA, 904 nt
Organism: Exaiptasia diaphana
Lineage: Eukaryota; Metazoa; Cnidaria; Anthozoa; Actiniaria; Aiptasiidae
Exons: 2
Source: RefSeq, a predicted model, not a curated record
ACAAUCAUUUUCAGUUAGACACAGACUACAUCAACUACUAAACGCUYCUCUUUAAAAAAAUUGCAGUAUAGCCACUGAACUUGAAAAUGGCUUCUAGGAAAAUGCUGCUGGCAAUUGUCUUCGUUGUUGCUAUSUUUGCUUCUUUAGGAACUGACUCCACUGUGGGGGGCACAUUUGGCAUAUCUACAGCUACAGCUAAGGGACGCCGAAACAUGUAUAAGAAAAUGCUUGAUAAAAGGAAUCAAUCUCCUUACCCGAAAGAGGAUGCUGCUAUUUGCGUGGAAGCUCAUAAACGUGGUUGUUGUUAUAAGUAAACCUCAAGCACGAUUAACAAUAAGCGUCUCACGAUAUAAAAUGAUGAUUAUAACAGUAAAUAAAUAAAUGUAAGAUAAAUGACCAGCAAACUGAAUAAAGAAUUCUAAUUCUAUAAUCAUGAUCAUUUUAAGUCCAAGAUCUCACUGGCCAUCGAUUUAUGAUUGAAGAUGGUUUCGUGAAGCAAACAUACACCUAAUUGAAGAAACGUUGUCGGGUUCAAAAAGGUCUAAUCAUAGAACCUAAGACCGAAAAAGUACUUUGGAAGACAAACAAUUUGGCUAAUUUCAUACAAACAGCUCUCCAACAUAAAAGACUAGCAUGCUAUUAAUCUUACUAGCUCUAGUUGCUUUACCGUACACCAUGUUAAACACCGUAUAUGCAAAUGUAGAGGUACUCAAAAUCCCUUUCGUCUUAGCUUCUAUGAUGUGAACUUUUCGAACACGACUACGUUUUUUCAAUUAGGUGUAUGUGUUUCCAACUACUGUUUCUACACUUGAAUAACUUUUUUAAGGUUUCAGAGUAAUAUAAGUGCAAGAGGAGUAAUAAUGACUAAGUCUAAUCGCUGAAUAAAAUUGCAAUUCAACUGUAA